UUUAGGGCAUCGGCAUGGAGAGGUGUUCGUGAGAGGGAGGUUUUUGGUUGGGGGUCUUGAGCAUCGCCCGCCCAUCAUCCACCGGAUCCCCCGAGAGAUGAAGCUGAAGCAGCUCGAGGGCCUCCUCGGCACGCUCCAACAAUUCGCCCACCCAAAGGUGGAACUGGAGCAGUAUCCGACAGGACCACACAUUGCGUCCCGGUUGCUGUAUACGGCCGAAAAUACAUUUGGUGAUAUAAGUGGCAAGGUCGUGGCUGACUUCGGUUGUGGCUGUGGUACAUUAGGUUUAGCAAGUGCACUUUUGGGUGCAGAGCAGGUUAUUGGCAUUGACAUUGAUCCACAAUCUCUAGAAAUUGCUUCAAUAAAUGCUGCAGAUAUGGAGCUGGACAUAGAUUUCAUCUGGUGUGACGUCAACAAGUUAAGAUGGAGAGAUGAUGUGGUUGACACUGUUGUGAUGAACCCUCCUUUUGGGACUCGGAAAAAAGGAUCUGACAUGGAGUUUCUUGCCAAGGCUUUAAAGGUUGCUUCUCAAGCAGUCUAUUCUUUGCAUAAGACUACAACCAGAGAUUACAUUAAAAGAACAGCUAUUCGAGAUUGCAAUGCUAGAAGCGCCGAUAUUUUAUGUGAGCUCCGGUUUGAUGUGCCACAAAUUUAUAAAUUUCACAAAAAGAAAGAGGUCAAUAUUGCGGUGGAUCUCUGGCGCUUUGUUCCUUAUCCCACUCAAGAAAGUGCAGACAGCUGAGUGACAUGAGACAGCUAACAACUGUUAGAUGCUAUCCUGAUAGUUUACAGUUUGCUUUCCUCAAUGUUGCCACCAGAGCCUCAUCAGCCUGAUGCUGGACAUCAGUGUUGGGAGAAGUGCCUGUGGCAGGGAUUCUGGUGGAACUAUCAUCAAGCAAAUGAGAAUUAAUAAAGGAUGUACACGCAAGCAUACAUAAAUUGCUUUACUUGGAGUGCUUUCUUGUGUUGUAUUCCUAAGUGGAUAAAACAAUCUUGAAUGUAUGAUUUGAAUUAUUUGACUUUUACUGUAUUAUUUGAAUUACCUAUCAAUGUUGGACUACCAUAUGUCAUGCUACAUGGUAGUGACAUUUUCUGA
Molecule: RNA transcript, 1096 nt
Organism: Musa acuminata subsp. malaccensis (wild Malaysian banana)
Lineage: Eukaryota; Viridiplantae; Streptophyta; Magnoliopsida; Zingiberales; Musaceae
Source: RefSeq, a predicted model, not a curated record